AGGGUUCGAUUCUGGCUCAGAACGAACGCUGGUAGCGUGGAUUAGGCAUGCAAGUCGGACGGGAUCGGCUGGUUAGCAAUAAUCGGCCGUGAGAGUGGCGGACUGGGGAGGAACACGUGAGCAACUUGCCCGCAGGACGGGGAAAACCGUUGGAAACGACGGCUAAUACCGGAUGCGGCGCCUUGGGGACAUCCCCGUGGCGCCAAAGGGGGCCCAAAAGGCUCCCGCCCGCGGAGAGGCUCGCGCACCAUCAGCUAGUUGGCGGGGUAACGGCCCACCAAGGCUCACGGUUAGCUGGUCUGAGAGGAUGACCAGCCCCACUGGGACUGAGACACUGCCCAGACUCCUACGGGAGGCUGCAGUCGAGGAUCAUUUGCAAUGGGCGAAAGCCUGACAAUGCGACGCUGCGUGGAGGAUGAAGGCCUUCGGGUUGUAAACUCCUGUCAUGGGGGAACAGGCGAGGGGACCCAACACGUCCCUUAGUUGAGUGUACCCCAAGAGGAAGGGACGGCUAACUCUGUGCCAGCCGCGGC
This 533-nucleotide ribosomal RNA is filed under the name uncultured bacterium. RNAcentral describes it as "bacterial SSU rRNA". It matches the Rfam family "Bacterial small subunit ribosomal RNA", at positions 8 to 518 of the family's 1533-position model. The record is from RNAcentral.